Molecule: long non-coding RNA, 846 nt
Filed under: Pongo abelii (Sumatran orangutan)
Lineage: Eukaryota; Metazoa; Chordata; Mammalia; Primates; Hominidae
Description: lincRNA
Source: RNAcentral
GGAUGAACAUCAGAGCCCGCAGCUCUCGGCCCUGCUGGUGGCAGAAGCUUUGUACCAUGUGACGAUGACCUGGAUAUGGAAACAGAAGGGAGCUUCUAAGGACCGGAAGCUGAGAGUCUGUCUCCUGUCCUGUCCCGGACACUGGGGUUCAGGAACCAGAGCCUCAGUGUCUGCAGGAGUUGCUGGCUGUUUCCUGAUACAGUUGGAGCAGAAUGGGAUGUUCUGAGACAAAAGAGAUGUUUACCCAUCUUGACUAGUGUGGUCAUCUGAAGAAUGGCCUCCAAAGACAUCCUGAGAACCUGGGAAUGUUGCAUGGAUGAGGGAAUUUGCAAAUGUGAUUAAGUUAAGGAGCUUGAAAUUUGUGGAUCAUGCUGGGUUACCCUAGUGAGCUCUAAAUGUAAUCACAUGUGUCUUUAUGAAAGGGGGGCAGAGGGAGAUUUGCAGACAGAUGAGGAAGAAGAUGAGAAAACAAUGGACAUGAGAAAGAAAAGGUGAUACAAUUCAGGGACCCAAGCCAAUAAAUGAGGGUGACCUCCAGAUGCUGGAGAAGGGAAAGAAGCAGAUGGACUCUAGAGCCCCCACAAGAAGCAGGGCCCUGCCAUCACCUUGAUUUUGUCCCAGUGAAACCCAUUGGUCAUUUAGCUGCCAGAACUGUUUAAGCAUAAAUGUGUGUUGGUUUAAGCCAUGAAAUUUGCAGUAAUGUAUUAAAGCUGCCAUGGGAAACUAACACAACUGGAGUGGUAGUUCCAUGAAUGCAUGCAUUCACCAAACCUUAACAUGUACCCUUCGGAUACUGGCAUCAUAGGUCCAUGAAUGCAUAUGUUCACCCACACACUAAUAUGUACC